CCAACAACACGAAAAUCUUUCGCACGCCUAUGCUUGCUGAUCUGUUGCUGUGGCUGAAGGAGCUCCGGGAAGAAUUCACAGGGCUUUUCUGGAAGUGGGGCCUUUGGUGAAGAAGCUUGGCUUGAGGAAAAGAGAAGGAAGAAGCUUCGAGAGCACGGCUGCAGGUUGGCCAGCAUGGAACAUGUUCUCACAGACAAAGUGGGAGACACACACACUCCUUUGCUGUCAUACAUAAGAGAAUGGUGGAUAGUACAGGAAACAACCUGCUUGCAUUAA
RNAcentral lists this long non-coding RNA (276 nucleotides) under Cavia porcellus (domestic guinea pig). RNAcentral's name for it is "lncRNA (ENSCPOG00000039591.1)". The record is from RNAcentral. Lineage: Eukaryota; Metazoa; Chordata; Mammalia; Rodentia; Caviidae.